RNAcentral lists this ribosomal RNA (423 nucleotides) under uncultured archaeon. RNAcentral's name for it is "bacterial SSU rRNA". It matches the Rfam family "Archaeal small subunit ribosomal RNA", at positions 459 to 881 of the family's 1478-position model. The record is from RNAcentral.
CAGCCGCCGCGGUAACCCCAGCGCCACAAGUGGGAACCACGCUUAUUGGGUCUAAAGCAUCCGUAGCCGGUUCUGCAAAUGCCCUGUGAAAUCGUUGCGCUUAACGUAACGGCGUGCAGGGUAGACUACAGAACUAGAGACCAGAGGAAGGAGACGGUAUUCCUGAGGGAGCGGUAAAAUGUGAUAAUCUCAGGAGGACCACCGAUGGCGAAGGCAGUCUACUAAUAUGGAUCCGACGGUGAGGGAUGAAAGCUAGGGGAGCGAUCCGGAUUAGAUACCCGAGUAGUCCUAGCCGUAAACGCUGCAUGCCAGAUGUUACACAAUCUUCGAGAUUGUGUAGUGUCGAAACGAAGGUGUUAAGCAUGCCACCUGGGAAGUACGGUCGCAAGGCUGAAACUUAAAGGAAUUGGCGGGGGAAAACAA